Molecule: long non-coding RNA, 852 nt
Filed under: Phoenix dactylifera (date palm)
Lineage: Eukaryota; Viridiplantae; Streptophyta; Magnoliopsida; Arecales; Arecaceae
Description: long non-coding RNA (PDAC_LNC017571)
Source: RNAcentral
UUCUUUUGGAUUGUUAUUGUUAUGGGUUGACUGGUGAUCUGUGACAUGCUUAUUCUAGGGGAAAUCCUAAACUACUGAACUGCAAGGGUCGUAAACAUAAAUUAGUUAUCGGAUUCUUUAUAUAAGGAGUUCGGGUGUUGUAUUGUUUUAUUGCUUGUAUAUCUCUCAACUCGCUAUGAUUGUUGUAUGUAUGUCUAUGCCGGUUUCUUUGUGGUUGGUUCCCAUUGCCUUCUGUUUUUUGAUGACACAUGAAUGUUGGUUAUCAAACUUUAAUCCAACUUUCUUGAGUCCGAUAGUCUUCGUAAUGUAAUUGGUUAUCUGAAUGCUUUAUUUUUUUGUUACACACAUCAUCUUUGUGGAAUGCUCCAACGUUUAUUUAAGCUUGGCAAUUACUUUCUGAUACAAUUCUGUAUUCGUGAGUUUUCGGCACUGACUGAGAAAAAAAAAUCCUACUCGUGAUGUGUUUUUGUUGAUAGGCUAUACCAGUCGCCAUUCUUUUGGUAGCUCCUACAAUCAACAUCAUUCGAUUGAUUGGCCAAAUCAAUUUUUUCUUUAGGUUGAUUUCAUAUAUUAUGUGUCUCAUUCAAGUUGAAUGCUGUCUCUAGAUCGUUGUUAGCUGUUGGGCUAGACUGGAUGAAAUAGUGUACUGGACAAGUGCAUUUGACAUCAAUAAAUGGACCUGUAAUUUUUUUUAACAUGACUGCUUUUCUUGGCUAUGGUAAUAUUCUUUUUGUUGUUCUAAUUCAAUGUUUAAUAAGCGUCAUCAUUUAAUUGCCAUCAAUCUUGUUGUUCAUCCUUUCACCUAUGUGCUGUCUUCCCCUUGAUGCAACAAGCCUUGAUGCAUUCAUGUCA